AGCAGCCGCGGUAAUUCCAGCUCCAAUAGCGUAUAUUAAAGUUGUUGCAGUUAAAAAGCUCGUAGUUGAAUUUCGAGAUCGGCUUACUGGUCGUGCUUUUGUACGUACUGGUAAAUCGGUUUCUCCUUUCUGACGAACUUUAAUGCCAUUAAUUUGGUGUUUUAGGGAAUCAGGACUGUUACUUUGAAAAAAUUAGAGUGUUUAAAGCAGGCUCACGCUUGAAUACAUUAGCAUGGAAUAACGGAAUAGGACGUUUGAUUCUAUUUUGUUGGUUUCUAGGAUCGACGUAAUGAUUAAUAGGGAUAGUUGGGGGCAUUAGUAUUCAAUUGUCAGAGGUGAAAUUCUUGGAUUUAUUGAAGACUAACUACUGCGAAAGCAUUUGCCAAGGAUGUUUUCAUUAAUCAAGAACGAAAGUUAGGGGAUCGAAGACGAUCAGAUACCGUCGUAGUCUUAACCAUAAACUAUGCCGACUAGGGAUCGGAUGAUGUUAAUUUUUUCAAUGACUCAUUCGGCGCCUUAC
Molecule: ribosomal RNA, 520 nt
Filed under: uncultured Glomus
Lineage: Eukaryota; Fungi; Glomeromycota; Glomeromycetes; Glomerales; Glomeraceae
Description: SSU rRNA
Rfam family: Eukaryotic small subunit ribosomal RNA
Source: RNAcentral